Molecule: transfer RNA, 76 nt
Filed under: Verrucomicrobiota bacterium
Lineage: Bacteria; Pseudomonadati; Verrucomicrobiota
Description: Verrucomicrobia bacterium (marine sediment metagenome) tRNA-Arg
Rfam family: tRNA
About the family: Transfer RNA (tRNA) molecules are approximately 80 nucleotides in length. Their secondary structure includes four short double-helical elements and three loops (D, anti-codon, and T loops). Further hydrogen bonds mediate the characteristic L-shaped molecular structure. tRNAs have two regions of fundamental functional importance: the anti-codon, which is responsible for specific mRNA codon recognition, and the 3' end, to which the tRNAs corresponding amino acid is attached (by aminoacyl-tRNA synthetases). tRNAs cope with the degeneracy of the genetic code in two manners: having more than one tRNA (with a specific anti-codon) for a particular amino acid; and 'wobble' base-pairing, i.e. permitting non-standard base-pairing at the 3rd anti-codon position.
Source: RNAcentral
GCCCCCAUAGCUCAAAUGGAUAGAGCGGCGGUUUCCUAAACCGCAAAUCCCUGUUCAAUUCAGGGUGGGGGUACCA